RNAcentral lists this long non-coding RNA (943 nucleotides) under Nicotiana benthamiana. RNAcentral describes it as "long non-coding RNA (NBEN_LNC029810)". Lineage: Eukaryota; Viridiplantae; Streptophyta; Magnoliopsida; Solanales; Solanaceae. The record is from RNAcentral.
ACAGAGCCAUCAGCCUUAUAUUUGAUCUUAUAAACCCAUUUGCAGCCUAUGGGUUUCUUACCAGGAGGAAGAGGAACAACAUCCCAGGUGUGGUUGGCAUCCAAGGCAUCAAACUCCUUUCUCAUGGCAUCUUGCCAUACUGCAACGGAUGCAGCUUGAGAGUAAUAGAGAGGUUCAGAUUCCAGAGAAGAAGAAGAGGAGCCAUAAAAGGCAGGAAGUUGACAGUCAUAGUCCUUAAGAUAAGAUGGAGGAUUAUGCUGUCUUCCAGACUUUCUGGGAGUAGGAGCAGAUGUGGAAGAAGGCAAAUUAGGAGGAGAGGUAUCAGGAUUGAAGGAAGGAAUGGAGGCUGGAUUAGAAGAAGAACAAGUGGUGGCAGAAGGAGGAUUAAGAGAGCGACAAACAGGUAUCAACAACUCAGUGUCAGAGAAGGAAGGCUCAAGAGAAGGAACUGAGGGAAAGGAGGAUGGAACAGGAGAUGAAACAUUCUUAAAUGGAAAAGAGGUUUCAUGAAAUACAACAUCCCUGGAAACAAAGUAUUUCUUUGAAGUAAGGUAAUAAAGUUUAUAACCUUUUUUGGCAAAAGGAUACCCAAUGAAGACACAGGAAAGGAUUCUAGGUUUCAAUUUGUCCCUUUGAGGAAUUGGAACAGUCGCAUAGGCAAGGCACCCAAAAGCUCUCAAAUGGGAGUAGGCUGGUGCCUUUCCAUGUAAAACUUCAAAGGGAGAUUUAUGAUUAAGGAGUCUGGAUGGUAGUCUAUGGAUUGAAGGCAAAGUUGAUGAAGAACUGAGUGAGAGAAAGAGAGAGAAACUGAAGAACUCUCUGGAACAAAGUAUUUCUGUGAAGUAAGGUCAUAAAGUUUAUAACCUUUUUUUAGUAAAAGGAUACCCAAUGAAGACACAGGAAAGAGCUCUAGGUUUCAAUUUGUCCCUUUGAGGAAUUGGAA